RNAcentral lists this long non-coding RNA (228 nucleotides) under Elaeis guineensis (African oil palm). RNAcentral describes it as "long non-coding RNA (EGUI_LNC002412)". Lineage: Eukaryota; Viridiplantae; Streptophyta; Magnoliopsida; Arecales; Arecaceae. The record is from RNAcentral.
UAUGUGUGUUCAUGCAUGUAUUUAUGAAUGAAUGUAUGCAUGUAUUUAUGAAUGAAUGUAUGCAUGCAUGUAUGAAUGAAUGCAUGCAUGUAUGAAUGAAUGCAUGCAUGCAUCUGUAUAUCAGAACUGCAGAAAAUAAGUAGGAUGAACUCAACUUAAUGAGCAAUCCUUUACAAAAAUAUACUUGAAAAUAAAACCAUAAAAUCUUAAACUGGACUGAGCAAGCAC